CUCGGGAUGCGACACGUGUCAGGUCAUUUUAUAACACUAUCAAGUAUCAAGUCGGAUUGUUAAAUUCCAGCGGUCAACAAGCAGGAGCUCUUCAAGUGAUUCGACUGGAACCGAUCGAACACACAAAAACAAAAAGCAACAGCAGAAAGGGAAGAAUUAAUGCCUAGUAUGAUCGCAGUUACGACAACAGAAUUAGAUGAACGACAACGAGAACCCCUUCUACACAAUCCCCGUUCUCUUUCCAAUGAAGAAGAAGAAGAGAUCACCAACACGCCUUCAACCUCAUCAUCCAACGCAUCGCCACCACCAACUCAACGCCUCCUUUCUCUCGACGUUUUCCGUGGCCUUACCGUCGCUCUCAUGAUUUUAGUUGAUGAUGCUGGUGGAGCUUUUCCUUGUAUUAAUCACUCUCCGUGGUUUGGUGUGACGCUUGCCGAUUUUGUGAUGCCUUUUUUCCUCUUUGUUGUUGGUGUCUCUAUCAGUUUAGUUUUUAAGAAAGUAUCUAGCAAACCAAUGGCCACAAAAAAAGUCAUACUGAGGACUAUCAAACUAUUUCUUCUGGGAUUAUUGUUGCAAGGUGGGUAUUUCCAUGGACGCCACGAUUUAACAUACGGGGUUGAUGUGAGCAAGAUACGUUGGAUGGGCGUGCUACAGAGGAUAUCCAUUGGAUAUCUCUUUGCUGCAAUGUCAGAGAUCUGGCUUGUGGACAGUAUCAUGGUCGACUCACCUAUGGCUUUUGUGAAGAAAUGCUACAUCCAAUGGAUGGUUGCUUUCUUAUUUUGCACAUUUUACAUGUGCUUGCUGUAUGGCCUUUAUGUUCCAGACUGGGAAUUCGAAGUUCCAAGUACAAAUCUGUUUGGAUAUGAAUUCGGUACUAAAAUUGUGAAUUGUGGAGUGAAGGGCAGUCUUGAACCUCCUUGUAAUGCAGUUGGUCUGAUUGACCGAUUUUUUUUUGGUGAACAUCAUCUAUAUCAACAUCCUGUGUAUAGAAGAACAAAGCAUUGUAGUGUUAAUUCUCCUGACUACGGACCUCUGCCACCAAAUUCACCUGGGUGGUGCCUUGCUCCAUUUGACCCAGAGGGCAUCUUGAGUUCUUUGAUGGCUGCUAUUACAUGUUUUCUUGGAUUGCAGUUUGGUCAUAUCCUUGUUCAUUUCAAGGGCCACAUGCAAAGGCUGUGUUUGUGGUCUGUGUGUUCUUUCAUCAUACUAAUUACUGGAUAUGUUUUUGAACUUCUGGGCGUUCCUCUUUGUAAACCAUUAUAUACGUUGAGCUAUAUGUGCAUUACAGCUGGAGCAUCAGGCUUGGCUUUAACGAUCAUCUUUUACAUAGGAACAUAAGCAGGUCAAGAGAGCUUGAUUUUUCUUGUUAUAAUUUCUAAGCAUCUUCCUGUCCUCAAAUUCAUGGAACAUGGUAAAUUUGAUUCUCAUGUGGAGCUUUGGAAUUAUCUUGGCUUUUAAGAUCGGGGAAGAAAUAGCCUUUUGAGGAUGUAGCGAAUUUCCAUGCCAGCUAUAGGGGAUUGGCUAAAUCUUGGAUCAUUUUUGGGUGGUUGACAAUAUCAGAGUUUUAAUCUUUUCUUAUGACACGGCGUGCUUUUCAUGCCAUGGAGAUGUUGGAACUAUACAACUCUCAGUCCUAUUGUUUUGUUAUCCCCUUCCUUUUCUUUUCCUAUUUUGACCCUGCUCGGGGGAUGUGUGUUGUAUGCAAUUGAGAGGUUAUUGAAAACUAAAAGGAGAUUGGCGUGAAAGAAUUGUUUCAGUUCAAACAAUUUUAUGCAGGUUGAUGUCAAGCAUUUUAGAAAGCCCACGAUGAUACUUCAGUGGAUGGGAAUGAAUGCACUCAUCAUUUAUGCGCUGGCUGCCUGUGACCUUUUCCCAGCAGCCAUUCAAGGUUUCUAUUGGGGCUCACCAGAAAACAAUUUGGUUGAUGAUACAGAAUCGCUGUUCCAAGUCAUGCUCCAUUCAAAGAAGUGGGGCACCCUUGUUUUUGUAAUUAUGGAGAUUUUAUUCUGGGGCCUUGUGGCUGGUUUCCUACAUUUGAAAGGCAUUUAUGUGAGACUCUGAAAGUAUUGUAGAUGCUGCUUUUCCCUGUGCAAGACUGUAAAUUCUACCUUGUGAAUAAAAUAAAAUUUAAUGCGUGUAACCAGCAGCAUUGUUAUUCCUUCAACAGCGCCUUUUUGUUCA
Molecule: RNA transcript, 2181 nt
Organism: Populus euphratica (Euphrates poplar)
Lineage: Eukaryota; Viridiplantae; Streptophyta; Magnoliopsida; Malpighiales; Salicaceae
Gene name: heparan-alpha-glucosaminide N-acetyltransferase-like
Exons: 13
Source: RefSeq, a predicted model, not a curated record